UCAUCUUCGGGGGUAGAGCACUGUUUCGGCUAGGGGGUCAUCCCGACUUACCAACCCGAUGCAAACUACGAAUACCGAAGAAUGUUAUCACGGGAGACACACGGCGGGUGCUAACGUCCGUCGUGAAGAGGGAAACAACCCAGACCGCCAGCUAAGGUCCCAAAGUCAUGGUUAAGUGGGAAACGAUGUGGGAAGGCCCAGACAGCCAGGAUGUUGGCUUAGAAGCAGCCAUCAUUUAAAGAAAGCGUAAUAGCUCACUGGUCGAGUCGGCCUGCGCGGAAGAUGUAACGGGGCUAAACCAUGCACCGAAGCUGCGGCAGCGACGCUUAUGCGUUGUUGGGUAGGGGAGCGUUCUGUAAGCCGUUGAAGGUGGCCUGUGAGGGUUGCUGGAGGUAUCAGAAGUGCGAAUGCUGACAUAAGUAACGAUAAUGCGGGUGAAAAACCCGCACGCCGGAAGACCAAGGGUUCCUGUCCAACGUUAAUCGGGGCAGGGUGAGUCGACCCCUAAGGCGAGGCCGAAAGGCGUAGUCGAUGGGAAACAGGUUAAUAUUCCUGUACUUGGUGUUGCUGCGAAGGGGGGACGGAGAAGGCUAUGUUGGCCGGGCGACGGUUGUCCCGGUUUAAGCAUGUAGGCGGAUGUUCCAGGUAAAUCCGGAACGUUAUUAACGCUGAGGUGUGAUGACGAGGCACUACGGUGCUGAAGUGACAAAUGCCCUGCUUCCAGGAAAAGCCUCUAAGCAUCAGGUAACAUCAAAUCGUACCCCAAACCGACACAGGUGGUCAGGUAGAGAAUACCAAGGCGCUUGAGAGAACUCGGGUGAAGGAACUAGGCAAAAUGGUGCCGUAACUUCGGGAGAAGGCACGCUGAUGGUAGGUGAAGUGACUUGCUCGUGGAGCUGAAAUCAGUCGAAGAUACCAGCUGGCUGCAACUGUUUAUUAAAAACACAGCACUGUGCAAACACGAAAGUGGACGUAUACGGUGUGACGCCUGCCCGGUGCCGGAAGGUUAAUUGAUGGGGUUAUCCUUGCGGAGAAGCUCUUGAUCGAAGCCCCGGUAAACGGCGGCCGUAACUAUAACGGUCCUAAGGUAGCGAAAUUCCUUGUCGGGUAAGUUCCGACCUGCACGAAUGGCGUAAUGAUGGCCAGGCUGUCUCCACCCGAGACUCAGUGAAAUUGAACUCGCUGUGAAGAUGCAGUGUACCCGCGGCAAGACGGAAAGACCCCGUGAACCUUUACUAUAGCUUGACACUGAACACUGGUCCUUGAUGUGUAGGAUAGGUGGGAGGCUUUGAAGUGUGGACGCCAGUCUGCAUGGAGCCGUCCUUGAAAUACCACCCUUUAAUGGCUGGUGUUCUAACGUGGGCCCGUGAUCCGGGUUGCGGACAGUGUCUGGUGGGUAGUUUGACUGGGGCGGUCUCCUCCUAAAGAGUAACGGAGGAGCACGAAGGUCAGCUAAUCCUGGUCGGACAUCAGGAGGUUAGUGCAAUGGCAUAAGCUGGCUUGACUGCGAGCGUGACGGCGCGAGCAGGUGCGAAAGCAGGUCAUAGUGAUCCGGUGGUUCUGAAUGGAAGGGCCAUCGCUCAACGGAUAAAAGGUACUCCGGGGAUAACAGGCUGAUACCGCCCAAGAGUUCAUAUCGACGGCGGUGUUUGGCACCUCGAUGUCGGCUCAUCACAUCCUGGGGCUGAAGUAGGUCCCAAGGGUAUGGCUGUUCGCCAUUUAAAGUGGUACGCGAGCUGGGUUUAGAACGUCGUGAGACAGUUCGGUCCCUAUCUGCCGUGGGCGCUGGAGAAUUGAGGGGGGCUGCUCCUAGUACGAGAGGACCGGAGUGGACGCAUCACUGGUGUUCGGGUUGUCAUGCCAAUGGCAUUGCCCGGUAGCUAAAUGCGGAAGAGAUAAGUGCUGAAAGCAUCUAAGCACGAAACUUGCCCCGAGAUGAGUUCUCCCUGACCCUUUAAGGGUCCUGAAGGAACGUUGAAGACGACGACGUUGAUAGGCCGGGUGUGUAAGCGCAGCGAUGCGUUGAGCUAACCGGUACUAAUGAACCGUGAGGCUUAACCUU
RNAcentral lists this ribosomal RNA (2062 nucleotides) under Klebsiella oxytoca 10-5243. RNAcentral describes it as "bacterial LSU rRNA". It matches the Rfam family "Bacterial large subunit ribosomal RNA", at positions 890 to 2925 of the family's 2925-position model. Lineage: Bacteria; Pseudomonadati; Pseudomonadota; Gammaproteobacteria; Enterobacterales; Enterobacteriaceae. The record is from RNAcentral.